UUUAAAUGGCCGCAGUACCUUGACUGUGCUAAGGUAGCAUAAUCAAUUGGCUUCUAAUUAGAGUCUAGAAUGAAAGGAAUUAUGAGGUAAUUCUGUCUUAAAAGAUUUUUUUUUAAUUUAUUUAAAUGAUGAAAAUAUCAUUUUUUUAGAAAAAAGACGAGAAGACCCUUAGAGUUUAAUUUUUUAAUUUUGUUGGGGCGACAAGUAAACAUUUUGAACUUUACUAAUUAAUUUAAUCGAUUUAUAAUAAGAAUAAAAAAACUACCUUAGGGAUAACAGCAUUAUAUUUUUAUAUGAUUGUGACCUC
This 307-nucleotide ribosomal RNA is filed under the name Biomphalaria tenagophila. RNAcentral's name for it is "partial 16S ribosomal RNA". Lineage: Eukaryota; Metazoa; Mollusca; Gastropoda; Planorbidae. The record is from RNAcentral.